GCCAGACUCCUACGGGAGGCAGCAGUGGGGAAUAUUGCACAAUGGGGGAAACCCUGAUGCAGCGACGCCGCGUGAGUGAAGAAGUAUCUCGGUACGUAAAGCUCUAUCAGCAGGGAAGAAAAUGACGGUACCUGACCAAGAAGCCCCGGCUAACUACGUGCCAGCAGCCGCGGUAAUACGUAGGGGGCAAGCGUUAUCCGGAUUUACUGGGUGUAAAGGGAGCGUAGACGGCAGCGCAAGUCUGGAGUGAAAUGCCGGGGCCCAACCCCGGAACUGCAUUGGGAACUGGCGCGCUGGAGUGCCGGAGGGGUAGGCGGAAUUCCUAGUGUAGCGGUGAAAUGCGUAGAUAUUAGGAGGAACACCAGUGGCGAAGGCGGCCUACUGGACGGUGACUGACGCUGAGGCUCGAAAGCGUGGGGAGCAAACAGGAUUAGAUACCCUAGUA
RNAcentral lists this ribosomal RNA (445 nucleotides) under uncultured bacterium. Its description in RNAcentral is "bacterial SSU rRNA". It matches the Rfam family "Bacterial small subunit ribosomal RNA", at positions 330 to 792 of the family's 1533-position model. The record is from RNAcentral.